RNAcentral lists this long non-coding RNA (776 nucleotides) under Hordeum vulgare. Its description in RNAcentral is "long non-coding RNA (HVUL_LNC013044)". The record is from RNAcentral. Lineage: Eukaryota; Viridiplantae; Streptophyta; Magnoliopsida; Poales; Poaceae.
CUCGCUGCCUCACUCCCUCACAUAGAAAUCCCCAGAUCCACUCCACUCCCUUCGUCUCCCACCACGGCCCCCUCUCAUCCCUUACCCUCCACCCAUCCGCCGGCGGCCAGAUGCGGACACAGCCGCCCCCCUCGUCUCCCCUCCCUUCCAAUCCUCUCCCGCACGGCGGCGCCGACAGCGAUGCAGAGGUCUCCGUGAUUUCCCUCAUCCUCCUUCUACCCUGUCGGCGGAGGCCGGUCGAUUUACAUGGCCUAGCUUCUCAAUCCACCUACACAUCCUGAUGGUGGACCACAGCGACGUUGACCGGAAGCUCAUCGAGAUGCUGCUCAAGACCUACUCCUCCUGGUUUUUAUUCCUCCUCCCUCCAUUUAAAUUCCUCUCUUCCUUUCCCUNNNNNUUUCCCUACCGAUUGUUCCCACCACCGCCCCCUCUCAUCCCCUGCCAUGCAGUCGUCCAACAGCGGCCAACAGCCCUGACGUCCUCACCAGCGACUUCGCCGAUCUCGCCGUCGGUCUCGCCAUCGCCGCGCUAACAGAGAUCUAGCAGGCCGACCCCUACGUGUGAACUAGCUUGUGGAAGGCAUGUCGCCCGCCAUGGAUGGACCUCCCUCUGCUCCUAGCCACACAGGAGGAAACCACUCCCUCCCGUCCUCAAGGUCAUCUCCUCCCCCUCUCAUCCCUUGGCUUGUUGCACGAGUAACCCUCACAUGCUCUCCACCUUUCCUCCAAGAUGAAGACCAAACAAUAAUAGACUUUUGUUAACAAUGUGUGUCAUAG